Long non-coding RNA from Lycium ferocissimum, 1103 nucleotides. RefSeq lists it as uncharacterized. The record is from RefSeq and is a predicted model, not a curated record. The transcript has 4 exons. NCBI's taxonomy places the organism in Eukaryota, Viridiplantae, Streptophyta, Magnoliopsida, Solanales, Solanaceae.
GGCUUGCAACAGUUUGAAGUGCCUGAUAUUGGAAUGGAUCACCGCAAUGAAAGUGGGGAAACAUUAAAGGCAUCUACUGAAGAACUUCUGGAAGGAAUACAUAGUUGAGUUUCCCGACGACACCGUAUCUGUCAAAUCGCCAGUCGUAUCAGCAAACUCUGCUGACAUAGCAGAGGUCCUAGCUGAUAUUUCUCGCACAGGCUGGUCUUCGGGUCCCACUCAUGACAAGAGUGCUGUAUUGCAGGAAGAUCGUCAUAUUUUCGAGACGCCGCCCAAAGUUGGUGAGAAUGUGAUUCCCUUAUCUCAGUUUCUUUUGCCUGACGAGCUGUUUCCAAGCCAAACUCCCGAAAGAAGAAUGGUUUUGCAUCCAUCGGUGGCUCGGAAUGUGCGUCCUAGUAAAUACCAAUUUUCCCUUUUAUGGAGAAUUACGAGUACGUUUCGUGAAAGUAUCAAUAAAAAAGCAUUAAUGCAUUUAAUUUUUUGUAUUGCAAAGCAUUUUUUAUAUUGAUCAUAUGUAUUUUGAAUAUUUACAGCUGGUUUAAAACACAUCACUGUCCGCAUUUUUAAGAAGAAGCAUCCAUUCACGAAAGAUCCUAUCACUGGCUCAAUCGACACAGAGCUUUUUGAUAAAUACUUGGAGUGGAUUCGCAAGGGACUGCUUGUCAGGCAUGAAAAUAAAAAGAACAAUGAAGACCGUUACAGAAAGAAGAUGGCAGCUUUGGAGAAUAAUGCAGAUUAUACUUAUAAUUUUGGCAUCACAGUAGUAGAGAACAAAAACUGGUUCUACCAGUUAUCAAUGAGUGGCCAGCCGUGGAAUGAUGAGCACAUUGACGUGAUUUUCUACUACUUGCGAAAGAAAGGAAAGUAUGACGUAAGGAGCAAUUUCAAAUACACAACUUGAUUGUCUCUUCAUGCGAAAGGUUGAUCAAACAUAUCUUGCAUACAACAACCCAGAAACUGGACCCAAUGUAGCCAACGAAGAAGACGAUAUAUGUCAAUAUGUUAAGGGCUGCAGAUUGCAUGCAAAUGUCCCUUGGCAUUCAGUUGACAAUAUUUUUAUACCUGUCAACAUUAAAGAGGAUAAUCAUUGGAUUUUAGUCGUA